GAUGAACGCUGGCGGCGUGCUUAACACAUGCAAGUCGAGCGAAGCGGUUUCGAUGAAGUUUUCGGAUGGAUUUGAGAUUGACUUAGCGGCGGACGGGUGAGUAACGCGUGGGUAACCUGCCUUACACUGGGGGAUAACAGUUAGAAAUGACUGCUAAUACCGCAUAAGCGCACAGGGCCGCAUGGUCUGGUGUGAAAAACUCCGGUGGUGUAAGAUGGACCCGCGUCUGAUUAGGUAGUUGGUGGGGUAACGGCCCACCAAGCCGACGAUCAGUAGCCGACCUGAGAGGGUGACCGGCCACAUUGGGACUGAGACACGGCCCAAACUCCUACGGGAGGCAGCAGUGGGGAAUAUUGGACAAUGGGCGAAAGCCUGAUCCAGCGACGCCGCGUGAGUGAAGAAGUAUUUCGGUAUGUAAAGCUCUAUCAGCAGGGAAGAAAAUGACGGUACCUGACUAAGAAGCCCCGGCUAACUACGUGCCAGCAGCCGCGGUAAUACGUAGGGGGCAAGCGUUAUCCGGAUUUACUGGGUGUAAAGGGAGCGUAGACGGUUUAGCAAGUCUGAAGUGAAAGCCCAGGGCUCAACCCCGGUACUGCUUUGGAAACUGUUAGACUUGAGUGCAGGAGAGGUAAGUGGAAUUCCUAGUGUAGCGGUGAAAUGCGUAGAUAUUAGGAGGAACACCAGUGGCGAAGGCGGCUUACUGGACUGUAACUGACGUUGAGGCUCGAAAGCGUGGGGAGCAAACAGGAUUAGAUACCCUGGUAGUCCACGCCGUAA
RNAcentral lists this ribosomal RNA (777 nucleotides) under uncultured bacterium. RNAcentral describes it as "bacterial SSU rRNA". It matches the Rfam family "Bacterial small subunit ribosomal RNA", at positions 28 to 805 of the family's 1533-position model. The record is from RNAcentral.